This 698-nucleotide small RNA is filed under the name Pan troglodytes (chimpanzee). RNAcentral's name for it is "retained intron". Lineage: Eukaryota; Metazoa; Chordata; Mammalia; Primates; Hominidae. The record is from RNAcentral.
GAGCGGCCUCCCAGAAAACCAGAGCUGCUACAGGAGGUAAGGGAUGGGUUUGAGAUUGUGCUUCACUGCACUCUUACUCGUGAAAAUUCUUCUGGGUUAUGUUUUCUCUGUUCUCUUCCCUGUUUCUUUCACUGUGUUUUUACUCCAGAAUUCUCAGUAUUAGUCUCCCAUGUGUCUCCCUUGUUGUCCCCACACCCUGUGUCACCCCACUCUGUCCUGGCUUCCUAUAAUUCCCAAUUCCCACCCAAUUCAUGUUUUGCUUCUGGCCCUUCUCAUCUGUAGGAAUCUUUGCCACCUCCUCAUAGCUCUGGAUUCUUGGGCUCUAAGCCUGAGGGCCCAGGCCCUCAGGCAGAGUCCAGAGAUACAGGCACAGAGGCCCUGACCCCUCACAUCUGGAACCGUUUACAUACUGCCACUAGCCGAAAGAGUUACCGGCCCAGCUCCAUGGAGCCUUGGAUGGAGCCCCUGAGUCCUUUUGAGGAUGUGGCUGGCACAGAAGUGAGUGAGGGUGGGAGGGUGUGUCUGAGCUGGGACUUUUUUGAGCACUGGUCAUACUCCCCCACCUGCUCUGGGUUGAGUCUGGAGCUGUUCUCUCACUUGGCUGUCCCUUUUCUGCAGUUUGUAUGUGUGCAUCAGUCAGGUAUUGGGGUGCUUUCUACCCUGACUUAACUAGCUCCUUCUCCACUCCUCUCAGAUGA